CUUCAAGCUGAAGUGGGACACCACUUUUGAGGACAUGCAAGAAGUCACGUUCGCUCCUCAGAGAAGUGUGUGGGAUCUUAAUAAGAGUGUUACAUGCAAAGCUAUACCCUGAAGCCUACACAGAUGACCUCUUUCUUCCACUGCGGAGAAUUUGGCCCAGUUCCAUUUUAGCGGUGUUUUCAUUUACUUUAAAAAAAAAAAAAAAAGAAAGAAAAAAAUCAUACUGAGCUCUCUGAUGUUGUGACAAUGUGAAGAUGAGGAUGGGGACUUUGCACCGUGUACAACUGACAGAGAAACGGUCCCAGGGAGCGUCGUGGCAGGACUUCCCUUGGUGUCUGAGGUCCCUGAGAGAGUACACGUACAGUUCACUCUGGAAGCUACACAGCUGAAGCACUGGCAACAGAAGAAGCAGAAUAUGCUUGGCUGUCAUUUUAGCAAUCUUCUCUGCAGCAGUCCUAAUGUGCACGGAAGAGGGGCUAUUGCCUGAUGACUCCACACGUAUGAAACAGUUCAAUUUGGAUAGUGAAAACCUAGAUGAAGUAUCAGGUGAAAAUUCCCCUGUGCUUUGCUCUUUCAGGCGAUUGAAUAAUUUCCUGAAGGAACUGGGGAAGCUGCCCCCGUGCUGUCAAAUGUUUAAAGGUACUUGACUUUAAAGUACUGUCCAUCUUGACCUUGUCUCAGUGUUUGUCGUGGCAGGUCUCUUC
Long non-coding RNA from Cygnus atratus (black swan), 704 nucleotides. RefSeq lists it as uncharacterized. Lineage: Eukaryota; Metazoa; Chordata; Aves; Anseriformes; Anatidae. The transcript has 3 exons. The record is from RefSeq and is a predicted model, not a curated record.